AUCUUCGGCGGACGGGUGAGUAACACGUGGGCAACCUGCCUGUAAGACUGGGAUAACUUCGGGAAACCGGAGCUAAUACCGGAUAAUCCUUUCCCUCACAUGAGGGAAAGCUGAAAGACGGUUUCGGCUGUCACUUACAGAUGGGCCCGCGGCGCAUUAGCUAGUUGGUGAGGUAACGGCUCACCAAGGCAACGAUGCGUAGCCGACCUGAGAGGGUGAUCGGCCACACUGGGACUGAGACACGGCCCAGACUCCUACGGGAGGCAGCAGUAGGGAAUCUUCCGCAAUGGACGAAAGUCUGACGGAGCAACGCCGCGUGAGCGAUGAAGGCCUUCGGGUCGUAAAGCUCUGUUGUCAGGGAAGAACAAGUAUCGGAGUAACUGCCGGUACCUUGACGGUACCUGACCAGAAAGCCACGGCUAACUACGUGCCAGCAGCCGCGGUAAUACGUAGGUGGCAAGCGUUGUCCGGAAUUAUUGGGCGUAAAGCGCGCGCAGGCGGUUCCUUAAGUCUGAUGUGAAAGCCCCCGGCUCAACCGGGGAGGGUCAUUGGAAACUGGGGAACUUGAGUGCAGAAGAGGAGAGCGGAAUUCCACGUGUAGCGGUGAAAUGCGUAGAGAUGUGGAGGAACACCAGUGGCGAAGGCGGCUCUCUGGUCUGUAACUGACGCUGAGGCGCGAAAGCGUGGGGAGCGAACAGGAUUAGAUACCCUGGUAGUCCACGCCGUAAACGAUGAGUGCUAAGUGUUAGAGGGUUUCCGCCCUUUAGUGCUGCAGCAAACGCAUUAAGCACUCCGCCUGGGGAGUACGGCCGCAAGGCUGAAACUCAAAGGAAUUGACGGGGGCCCGCACAAGCGGUGGAGCAUGUGGUUUAAUUCGAAGCAACGCGAAGAACCUUACCAGGUCUUGACAUCCUCUGACAACCCUAGAGAUAGGGCUUUCCCCUUCGGGGGACAGAGUGACAGGUGGUGCAUGGUUGUCGUCAGCUCGUGUCGUGAGAUGUUGGGUUAAGUCCCGCAACGAGCGCAACCCUUGAUCUUAGUUGCCAGCAUUAAGUUGGGCACUCUAAGGUGACUGCCGGUGACAAACCGGAGGAAGGUGGGGAUGACGUCAAAUCAUCAUGCCCCUUAUGACCUGGGCUACACACGUGCUACAAUGGAUGGAACAAAGGGCAGCGAAGCCGCGAGGUGAAGCCAAUCCCAUAAAACCAUUCUCAGUUCGGAUUGCAGGCUGCAACUCGCCUGCAUGAAGCCGGAAUCGUUAGUAAUCGCGGAUCAGCAUGCCGCGGUGAAUACGUUCCCGGGCCUUGUACACACCGCCCGUCACACCACGCGAGUUU
RNAcentral lists this ribosomal RNA (1337 nucleotides) under Mesobacillus subterraneus. RNAcentral describes it as "bacterial SSU rRNA". It matches the Rfam family "Bacterial small subunit ribosomal RNA", at positions 91 to 1413 of the family's 1533-position model. Lineage: Bacteria; Bacillati; Bacillota; Bacilli; Caryophanales; Bacillaceae. The record is from RNAcentral.